CACGGGGGGAGCAAGCGUUGUUCGGAAUCACUGGGCGUAAAGGGCGUGCAGGCGGUCAGGUAAGUGAGAUGUGAAAUGCCCCGGCUCACCCGGGGACCGGCAUCUCAUACUGCUUGGCUUGAGUACGGGAGAGGAUGUGGGAAUUCCUGGUGUAGCGGUGAAAUGCGUAGAUAUCAGGAGGAACACCGGUGGCGAAGGCGCACAUCUGGCCCGAUACUGACGCUGAGGCGCGAAAGCUAGGGGAGCAAACAGG
This 253-nucleotide ribosomal RNA is filed under the name uncultured bacterium. RNAcentral's name for it is "partial 16S ribosomal RNA". It matches the Rfam family "Bacterial small subunit ribosomal RNA", at positions 524 to 776 of the family's 1533-position model. The record is from RNAcentral.